UACGGAGGGGGCUAGCGUUGUUCGGAUUUACUGGGCGUAAAGCGCGCGUAGGCGGCUUGGAAAGUUGGGAGUGAAAGCCCGGGGCUCAACCCCGGAACUGCUCUCAAAACUUCCAAGCUAGAGAUCUGGAGAGGAGGGUGGAAUUCCAAGUGUAGAGGUGAAAUUCGUAGAUAUUUGGAAGAACACCAGUGGCGAAGGCGACUCUCUGGCCAGAUACUGACGCUGAGGUGAGAAAGCGUGGGGAGCAAACAGG
Molecule: ribosomal RNA, 253 nt
Filed under: uncultured bacterium
Lineage: Bacteria
Description: partial 16S ribosomal RNA
Rfam family: Bacterial small subunit ribosomal RNA
Source: RNAcentral